UGGUGUGAGAGCACGACCAGUCACACGGGCACUGAGACACGGGCCCGACUCUACGGGAGGCAGCAGUAAGGAAUAUUGGUCAAUGGACGCAAGUCUGAACCAGCCAUGCUGCGUGGAGGAUGAAGGCCCUCUGGGUUGUAAACUUCUUUUAUUUGGGAAGAAACCCAUCCUUUCUAGGGUGGCUGACGGUACCAGAUGAAUAAGCACCGGCUAACUCCGUGCCAGCAGCCGCGGUAAUACGGAGGGUGCAAGCGUUAUCCGGAUUCACUGGGUUUAAAGGGUGCGUAGGUGGGCAGGUAAGUCAGUGGUGAAAUCUCUAAGCUUAACUUAGAAACUGCCGUUGAUACUAUCUGUCUUGAAUAUCGUGGAGGUGAGCGGAAUAUGUCAUGUAGCGGUGAAAUGCUUAGAUAUGACAUAGAACACCAAUUGCGAAGGCAGCUCGCUACACGGUUAUUGACACUGAGGCACGAAAGCGUGGGGAUCAAACAGGAUUAGAUACCCUGGUAGUCCACGCCCUAAUUCGAUGGAUACUCGACAUGUACGAUACACAGUAUGUGUCUGAG
RNAcentral lists this ribosomal RNA (563 nucleotides) under uncultured bacterium. RNAcentral's name for it is "bacterial SSU rRNA". It matches the Rfam family "Bacterial small subunit ribosomal RNA", at positions 288 to 851 of the family's 1533-position model. The record is from RNAcentral.